The sequence is a transfer RNA, 94 nucleotides long. It matches the Rfam family "tRNA". Rfam says of the family: Transfer RNA (tRNA) molecules are approximately 80 nucleotides in length. Their secondary structure includes four short double-helical elements and three loops (D, anti-codon, and T loops). Further hydrogen bonds mediate the characteristic L-shaped molecular structure. tRNAs have two regions of fundamental functional importance: the anti-codon, which is responsible for specific mRNA codon recognition, and the 3' end, to which the tRNAs corresponding amino acid is attached (by aminoacyl-tRNA synthetases). tRNAs cope with the degeneracy of the genetic code in two manners: having more than one tRNA (with a specific anti-codon) for a particular amino acid; and 'wobble' base-pairing, i.e. permitting non-standard base-pairing at the 3rd anti-codon position. The record is from Rfam.
UCUUCCGUAGUAUAGUGGUCAGUAUGUGAGCUUGUCAUCGGACUUUCAAGUCCUGACCUCGCUCGAGACCCGGGUUCAAUUCCCGGCGGGAGAG